This 490-nucleotide ribosomal RNA is filed under the name uncultured Actinomyces sp. Its description in RNAcentral is "bacterial SSU rRNA". It matches the Rfam family "Bacterial small subunit ribosomal RNA", at positions 28 to 508 of the family's 1533-position model. The record is from RNAcentral. Lineage: Bacteria; Bacillati; Actinomycetota; Actinomycetes; Actinomycetales; Actinomycetaceae.
GACGAACGCUGGCGGCGUGCUUAACACAUGCAAGUCGAACGGUGAAGGGACCAGCUUGCUGGUUCUGGAUGAGUGGCGAACGGGUGAGUAACACGUGAGUAACCUGCCCCCUUCUUCUGGAUAACCGCAUGAAAGUGUGGCUAAUACGGGAUAUUCUGGGUCUGUCGCAUGACGGGCCCGGGAAAGAUAUUGUUUCGGUGGGGGAUGGGCUCGCGGCUUAUCAGCUUGUUGGUGGGGUGAUGGCCUACCAAGGCGGUGACGGGUAGCCGGCCUGAGAGGGUGGACGGUCACACUGGGACUGAGACACGGCCCAGACUCCUACGGGAGGCAGCAGUGGGGAAUAUUGCACAAUGGGCGCAAGCCUGAUGCAGCGACGCCGCGUGAGGGAUGGAGGCCUUCGGGUUGUAAACCUCUUUCGCCAGUGAAGCAGGCUUGCUCCUUGUGGGUGGGUUGACGGUAGCUGGAUAAAAAACGCCGGCUAACUACGUGC